Molecule: ribosomal RNA, 441 nt
Filed under: uncultured bacterium
Lineage: Bacteria
Description: partial 16S ribosomal RNA
Rfam family: Bacterial small subunit ribosomal RNA
Source: RNAcentral
CCUACGGGAGGCAGCAGUGGGGAAUAUUGCACAAUGGGGGAAACCCUGAUGCAGCGACGCCGCGUGAGUGAAGAAGUAUCUCGGUAUGUAAAGCUCUAUCAGCAGGGAAGAAAAAAGACGGUACCGGACUAAGAAGCCCCGGCUAACUACGUGCCAGCAGCCGCGGUAAUACGUAGGGGGCAAGCGUUAUCCGGAUUUACUGGGGGUAAAGGGGGCGUAGACGGCGAGGCAAGUCUGAAGUGAAAGGCAGGGGCUUAACCCCUGAACUGCUUUUGAAACUGCGAUGCUGGAGUGCUGGAGAGGUAAGUGGAAUUCCUGGUGUAGCGGUGAAAUGCGUAGAUAUUAGGAGGAACACCAGUGGCGAAGGCGGCUUACUGGACAGUAACUGACGUUGAGGCUCGAAAGCGUGGGGAGCAAACAGGAUUAGAUACCCGUGUAGUC